CCUACGGGAGGCAGCAGUGGGGAAUAUUGGGCAAUGGAGGAAACUCUGACCCAGCGACGCCGCGUGCGGGAUGAAGGCCUUCGGGUUGUAAACCGCUUUCAGUAGGGAAGAAGCGAAAGUGACGGUACCUACAAAAGAAGCACCGGCUAACUAUGUGCCAGCAGCCGCGGUAAUACAUAGGGUGCAAGCGUUGUCCGGAAUUAUUGGGCGUAAAGAGCUCGUAGGUCGUUUGUUACGUCGGAUGUGAAAACCUGAGGCUCAACCUCAGGCCUGCAUUCGAUACGGGCAAACUAGAGUUUGGUAGGGGAGACUGGAAUUCCUGGUGUAGCGGUGGAAUGCGCAGAUAUCAGGAGGAACACCAAUGGCGAAGGCAGGUCUCUGGGCCAAUACUGACACCGAGGAGCGAAAGUCUGGGGAGCGAACAGGAUUAGAUACCCUGGUAGUCCAGACCGUAAACGGUGGGCACUAGUUGUGGGAACCUUCCGACGGUUUCUGCGACGCAGCUAACGCAUUAAGUGCCCCGCCUGGGGAUACGAUCGCAAGNUUAAAACGUCAAAGGAAUUGACGG
Molecule: ribosomal RNA, 568 nt
Filed under: uncultured bacterium
Lineage: Bacteria
Description: bacterial SSU rRNA
Rfam family: Bacterial small subunit ribosomal RNA
Source: RNAcentral